UUUUCUUUGCAGGAAACCAACUGUAUUGCACUUUGAUGUUAGUUUUUUCUCCGCACAAACAUAGGGGAUAGGUCUAUUGAUUGUCUGUAAUGGUGGUAAAAAACCUCUUUUUCUCCUACACUGUUUGAAUGUCAGAUCUCGGGUGGUUCGAUUUGUAAUUGGUAUUUCUAUUGAUUGAUGUUUUUUGUGUUAUAUAAGUCAACAAAAGUUAGAGCAUAUAUGCUACUAUUAUGAGUCAAGAACAUGUUGCUUCUCUACGAUACUCAUUUCAAACUCUUUCAGGCUUGAAAGUGUUGUUUCUCCUCGUCGUGUCUGUAUGUUUUAAUUUGUAUAUUGCAACACCUUCUUGGUGCUGGUUAUGAAUGUAUCUUCUUUGAAAUACUAAAAUCUAUUCUCUUGCUAAUCAGAUGAGGUAAUUUAUGCCAUUAUUGUGUUUGCCGAAAUUCCCCACUGAAAAAAGACUUGUGUGUCGUGAAGAGAGCUUAGUACCAAGAGUUGGCCGCUUUAAAAAAUGUUGGAAGUCUAAUGAAAUUGAAGUAUGGGCUUCCCUCCGCUUAUUAUUAUCUUUUGCUUUUUAUCUAAAAUAUUUUGUUCCCGUGUGGAGAAGGGGUUACCAGUUAAAUGUUUUUAGAAUUAUUACCUUAAUAUUAUUGAUCUUUUGUCAUUUACUUGCAUGUGUAAUUCUACAGUAGCAUUACUACUAUUUAUCUAACUUUUUUGUUGAAGUGAAGCAAUGUUCUGUUUCAGAAAAAAAAUUGACAGUCAACACUCUCUGCAUUAAGAAACAUUCGGUGAAAACCAUUUUACUCUGUGGAGAUAAAAUUUUGACACUCAAGUCAAGAUUGAAUCAAAUAGCAAGGGAUCAUGAAAUUACUUCAUCUCUCGAACUCUUUAGUGUUUGUGAAUAGUAAGAAGAACGGAGUAAAUGUUACUAGCAAUGCUCUUGUGGAAGUUCCCAGCUGCACCCAGGAAGCUAUGAUUGUACACUAUAACUUGCAUUAGCUAUGCGUCCUAGGCUCGAUGUGUGAAAGUACCUUUCAUGGAAUCUUAAGACACUGAAAUGGCUGAAUUGAGAAUCUCCGAGUACUUUCAAUUGAAAGAGGUACUCUACGAUUUUGCAGUGUAUGAAGUUGAGAAGUCCUACAUAUUUUGAUACAUAUAACAAGUGAGAUUUUGAGGCCAAAUAUGUUUGAGUCAC
Long non-coding RNA from Solanum stenotomum, 1198 nucleotides. RefSeq lists it as uncharacterized. The record is from RefSeq and is a predicted model, not a curated record. Lineage: Eukaryota; Viridiplantae; Streptophyta; Magnoliopsida; Solanales; Solanaceae. The transcript is spliced from 2 exons.